RNAcentral lists this transfer RNA (66 nucleotides) under Ammothea calmani. RNAcentral's name for it is "tRNA-Asn". Lineage: Eukaryota; Metazoa; Arthropoda; Pycnogonida; Pantopoda; Ammotheidae. The record is from RNAcentral.
UUAAUAGAAGCUAAUAUAAGCAUCUUAUUGUUAUUAAGGAAAUUGAAUAUUCUUAUUUCUAUUAAG